Mugil cephalus (flathead mullet) is the source of this 845-nucleotide long non-coding RNA. RefSeq lists it as uncharacterized. The record is from RefSeq and is a predicted model, not a curated record. NCBI's taxonomy places the organism in Eukaryota, Metazoa, Chordata, Actinopteri, Mugiliformes, Mugilidae. The transcript has 2 exons.
CGCCGCACUCUGAAGGGGAAAUCAGAUAUACGGAGCGUUUCUGCCCGACGACCACCGAUCCAAUUCCCGUUUUUUCGCAAAAAAUGUCUCCGAGGCGAUGUUAAGAUUGCGAUUUCGCCAGAAGGAUGCUGUCAUAUCGCGAUCGGCUGUGGAGGGGGAGGGGCCGCGCAAUCACGCCCUACGUGAAAACACCGCCCCUGUUAAACACUGGGGGCGCUACAGCACCACCAGAGAAACACACAAGCAAUUUACAAACCACUUAAUUAACGUCUUCAGUUAUUUUUACAGUAACGCUGGGUUUAAUGUUUAAAACGUAAUACAUUAUAUUAAAAAUAUAUAUUAAACUGCAGCAUGCUCACUUUAACAUUAAGUAUAAUAUAAAUGUAUGAAUUUCCCCAAUGGGGAUCAAUAAAGUAUUGUACAUUAUUUUAUUAGUUGUCGUUAAUUAAUGCAAUACAUUUCACAGGAUAUCGAUGUUUUGAAAUAACUGUAUUUUUCUUUUUGCAUCACAAAGUUGGGUGUUGAUGCCCAGCAGGUGAGUCCAGCUAUACAUCAAAAACACUACAAGAAAACAUAGGCUGCCUGUAGUUUUUCCUUUUUCAAUCACUCUCUUUGGUCUGUGAUUAUAAAUUAUUAUUCUUUUCCAUAUUCUAUGACUUUGCUGUGAAAAUUGUAUAUAGGUAAAUCUUUACAAAAAUACACUUUAGCUUCACACUAUUAUUGGUGAUAAAGGACCGACUGAAAUUGGCAAUACUUCCUAAACGUUAGCUACCUUGUGAUGUGCACGUAUACUUUUUGCAGACUUCUGACAUGUUGAAGACGCUUCAGGUUUCUGUUAUCAAUGU